This 498-nucleotide ribosomal RNA is filed under the name uncultured bacterium. RNAcentral's name for it is "partial 16S ribosomal RNA". It matches the Rfam family "Bacterial small subunit ribosomal RNA", at positions 28 to 523 of the family's 1533-position model. The record is from RNAcentral.
GAUGAACGCUAGCGGCAGGCCUAAUACAUGCAAGUCGAACGAGAUUAAGAGGCUUGCUUCUUAUGAAAGUGGCGCACGGGUGCGUAACGCGUAUGCAACCUACCUUAAUCAGGGGGAUAGCCCGAAGAAAUUCAGAUUAAGACCGCAUAAAAACACAGGAUAGCAUUAUCCAAUGUUCAAAUAUUUAUAGGAUUAAGAUGGGCAUGCGUGUCAUUAGCUAGUUGGCGGGGUAACGGCCCACCAAGGCGACGAUGACUAGGGGAUCUGAGAGGAUGACCCCCCACACUGGUACUGAGACACGGACCAGACUCCUACGCGAGGCAGCAGUAAGGAAUAUUGGUCAAUGGAGGGAACUCUGAACCAGCCAUGCCGCGUGCAGGAAGACAGCCCUCUGGGUCGUAAACUGCUUUUAUUCGGGAAUAAACCUUUCUACGUGUAGGAAGCUGAAUGUACCGAAGGAAUAAGGAUCGGCUAACUCCGUGCCAGCAGCCGCGGUAA